Molecule: ribosomal RNA, 468 nt
Filed under: uncultured bacterium
Lineage: Bacteria
Description: partial 16S ribosomal RNA
Rfam family: Bacterial small subunit ribosomal RNA
Source: RNAcentral
GACGAACGCUGGCGGCGUGCUUAACACAUGCAAGUCGAACGGAAAGGCCCUGCUUUUGUGGGGUGCUCGAGUGGCGAACGGGUGAGUAACACGUGAGUAACCUGCCCUUGACUUUGGGAUAACUUCAGGAAACUGGGGCUAAUACCGGAUAGGAGCUCCUGCUGCAUGGUGGGGGUUGGAAAGUUUCGGCGGUUGGGGAUGGACUCGCGGCUUAUCAGCUUGUUGGUGGGGUAGUGGCAUACCAAGGCUUUGACGGGUAGCCGGCCUGAGAGGGUGACCGGCCACAUUGGGACUGAGAUACGGCCCAGACUCCUACGGGAGGCAGCAGUGGGGAAUAUGGCACAAUGGGCGGAAGCCUGAUGCAGCAACGCCGGGUGCGGGAUGACGGCCUUCUGGUUGUAAACCGCUUUCGCCUGUGACGAAGCGUGAGUGACGGUAAUGGGUAAAGAAGCACCGGCUAACUACGUG